Molecule: long non-coding RNA, 428 nt
Organism: Triticum dicoccoides
Lineage: Eukaryota; Viridiplantae; Streptophyta; Magnoliopsida; Poales; Poaceae
Exons: 3
Source: RefSeq, a predicted model, not a curated record
GAGGACUGAAAAGAGAGCCGAGGUGAUGAUGGAUGCCUGGAGGUACACGCCGAGCAUGCGGUACACCUUUGCGCCAUAGCCUUGGCCGCAAAGCGUCUCCAGGGACCCGCUUAACCCAGUCUGCAUGGGAACAAGACAGAUCAAAGUGAGUAAUUGUUAUUCUAGUCUUGGAGACAGAUCUAAGUGAUAGAAUGAAUGAUGGAGCAUAUGUCUAUGACGGGCAACUUAGUUGAGCAAUGGAGACUAUGGAGUGGUGGCAGUAAAAAUUGAAGAUGAUGGCAAAGGAGACCAAAGAAAAGAUGGGAGGGACGGCUAAAGAGACAGACGAAGACGUUUUUACAGAGCAUCUCCGGGCAGGUCGCUGGAGAUGAGGAGGAGGAGAAGCCUCCUUCCCCUAGAAUCAGAUCAAAUCAAUGGAGAAGAAGGAU